GACGAACGCUGGCGGCGUGCUUAGCACAUGCAAGUCGAACGGAAAGGCCCUGCUUUUGUGGGGUUCUCGAGUGGCGAACGGGUGAGUAACACGUGAGUAACCUGCCCUUGACUUUGGGAUAUCUUCAGGAAACUGGGGCUAAUACCGGAUAGGAGCUCCUGCUGCAUGGUGGUGGUUGGAAAGUUCCGGCGGUUGGGGAUGGACUCGCGGCUUAUCAGCUUGUUGGUGGGGUAGUGGCUUACCAAGGCUUUGACGGGUAGCCGGCCUGAGAGGUUGACCGGCCACAAUGGGACUGAGAUACGGACCAGAAGCCUACGGGAGGCAGCAGUGGGGAACAUUGCACAAUGGGCGGGAGCCUGAUGCAGCAACGCCGCGUGCGGGAUGACGGCCUUCGGGUGGUAAACCGCUUUCGCCUGUGACGAAGCGUGAGUGACGGUAAUGGGUAAAGAAGCACCGGCUAACUACGUG
This 468-nucleotide ribosomal RNA is filed under the name uncultured bacterium. Its description in RNAcentral is "partial 16S ribosomal RNA". It matches the Rfam family "Bacterial small subunit ribosomal RNA", at positions 28 to 507 of the family's 1533-position model. The record is from RNAcentral.